GGAGGGUGCGAGCGUUGUUCGGAAUCACUGGGCGUAAAGGGCGUGUAGGCGGUCCGCUAAGUCUGAUGUGAAAGCCCGGGGCUCACCCCCGGAAGUGCAUUGGAAACUGGCGGACUCGAGUCCCGGAGAGGAGAGUGGAAUUCCUGGUGUAGCGGUGAAAUGCGUAGAUAUCAGGAGGAACACCGGUGGCGAAGGCGGCUCUCUGGACGGUGACUGACGCUGAGACGCGAAAGCGUGGGGAGCAAACAGGAUUAGAUACCCUGGUAGUCCACGCUGUAAACGAUGAGCACUAGGUGUCGUGGGUAUUGACCCCCGCGGUGCCGUAGCUAACGCAUUAAGUGCUCCGCCUGGGGACUACGGCCGCAAGGUUAAA
RNAcentral lists this ribosomal RNA (373 nucleotides) under uncultured bacterium. RNAcentral's name for it is "bacterial SSU rRNA". It matches the Rfam family "Bacterial small subunit ribosomal RNA", at positions 527 to 898 of the family's 1533-position model. The record is from RNAcentral.